GGGCUGCCUUGGAGUAUGAGCCGCAAUUCAGGCUUUCUGCCUACAUGGACUGGGGUGGGCAGACGCUGGAAUGGAAGGCUGUGAAGUCCUUCCUUACGUUAGAGAUGAGGACAGAACAGGGGGAACAGAGCUUCUGAAACAGCAGUUUAGCCUGGGAUUUUUCUGGAGUCCUGACUCAGCAGAUUAGUCAUGGCAUUUGAUAGGCGUUUGGGAUCUCCCUACAUGUCUGCAGCUCUUGGCUAACAGUAGACAUUAGCUGGCAUGUUCUGUGUGGCUUCCCCUAACCUCCCUGCCACCCUUUCUGUGUCUAGCCUUCUUGCGGGAAGAAGUGCAGCGGGCAGGCCUGACACUGACCCCACCCGAGGGGACACUGCCAGCACCACCUCCCCGAGACCUGCUGCGCAUCCAGGAGGAAACGGACCGCUUGGCCCAGGAGCUUCGGGAUGUUCGAGGCAACCAACAGGCACUUCGGGCCCAGCUGCACCAGCUACAGCUCCACUCAGCCGUGCUGGGCCAGAGCCACGCCCCUCCGAUGGCAGCUGUCCAUACGGAGGGACCCACCACUGAGAGAACACCCCUGCUUUCAGCCACCCCAGGGCCACAUGCAGACCUGAAGGUCAAUUUUGUGGCAGGUGCUGUGGAGCCUUGCAAGGCUGCAGCCCUGGAGCGCCUGCUUUGGAGAGCUUGCCGCGGCUUCCUCAUUGCCAGCUUUAAGGAGACUGAGGGGCAGCUGGAGGACCCGGUGACGGGUGAGCCUGCAACUUGGAUGACCUUUGUCAUCUCCUACUGGGGUGAGCAGAUCGGACAGAAGGUUCGGAAGAUCACAGACUG
This 831-nucleotide long non-coding RNA is filed under the name Rattus norvegicus (Norway rat). RNAcentral's name for it is "long non-coding RNA NONRATT003404". Lineage: Eukaryota; Metazoa; Chordata; Mammalia; Rodentia; Muridae. The record is from RNAcentral.